RNAcentral lists this ribosomal RNA (253 nucleotides) under uncultured bacterium. RNAcentral's name for it is "partial 16S ribosomal RNA". It matches the Rfam family "Bacterial small subunit ribosomal RNA", at positions 524 to 776 of the family's 1533-position model. The record is from RNAcentral.
UACGUAGGGUGCGAGCGUUAAUCGGAAUUACUGGGCGUAAAGCGUGCGCAGGCGGUUUUGUAAGUCUGUCGUGAAAUCCCCGGGCUUAACCUGGGAAUUGCGAUGGAGACUGCAAGGCUAGAAUCUGGCAGAGGGGGGUAGAAUUCCACGUGUAGCAGUGAAAUGCGUAGAGAUGUGGAGGAACACCGAUGGCGAAGGCAGCCCCCUGGGUCAAGACUGACGCUCAUGCACGAAAGCGUGGGGAGCAAACAGG